This 28-nucleotide non-coding RNA is filed under the name Mus musculus (house mouse). Lineage: Eukaryota; Metazoa; Chordata; Mammalia; Rodentia; Muridae. The record is from RNAcentral.
UGGNGCCUGACCUAGACUGAGGAGCAGU